RNAcentral lists this small RNA (242 nucleotides) under Pan troglodytes (chimpanzee). Its description in RNAcentral is "processed transcript". The record is from RNAcentral. RNAcentral also lists the same sequence under 1 other name. Lineage: Eukaryota; Metazoa; Chordata; Mammalia; Primates; Hominidae.
CCUCCAGGCAUCUUUUGAAAUGUGCAACAAAAUAAAAACCUCUGAACCUGUUUUGACACUGCAAACUCAGUGGAUGACAUGCCAGCCCAUUGGAAGCUGAAGGUGUUCCUGAAGUAUCUGAAAAAUAUGAAAUUAGCUCUGUUCCCACUUUUCUGUUUUUCAAGAAUUCUCAGAAAAUCGACCGAUUAGAUGGUGCACAUGCCCCAGAGUUGACCAAAAAAGUUCAGCGACAUGCAUCUAGU